Erythranthe guttata (spotted monkey flower) is the source of this 534-nucleotide long non-coding RNA. RefSeq lists it as uncharacterized. Lineage: Eukaryota; Viridiplantae; Streptophyta; Magnoliopsida; Lamiales; Phrymaceae. The record is from RefSeq and is a predicted model, not a curated record.
UUUCUACCCUCAAAUCGGUCAUUUCGGAACCGGCUUCUUCUUCAUCUAGAUAAACCACGGGGGCACCGACGAGAUCCCCUCUACCCUCAUAAUCGAUUUCGUGGUGAAUUUGAAUAUAACAACAACAACAUAAAUUUACGGUGGAAUGGGUUUCUCUAAAGAGGUGUAUCAAAAGGUUUUACGGUGACAACGUGCAAAACUUGCAGAGUAUUUGCAGAAUUGUGAACCAGAAUCAUUUCGAUAGAAUAUGCAAUCUUCUCGAGGAACCUGGUGUCGCAGCUUCCAUUGUCUACGGUGGUUCACUCGACCGAGAAAAUUUGAUGAUUGAGCCCACAUAUUUAUUGGAUCCUCCACUAGAUGCUCAGAUUAUGACUGAAGAAAUAUUCGGGCCUUUGCUACCAAUCAUCACACUCGAUAAAAUUGAAGAAAGCAUGUGGUGUUCCUCCGGGAAGAAAACUAAGAGAAACCCAUUCCCAUUCUCAGCCAAUUGCAGAUUUUCCCAGCUUCUUCUUCUGCUUCUUUUUUUUUUUUUGU